RNAcentral lists this transfer RNA (77 nucleotides) under Eubacterium sp. RNAcentral describes it as "tRNA-Pro". It matches the Rfam family "tRNA". Rfam says of the family: Transfer RNA (tRNA) molecules are approximately 80 nucleotides in length. Their secondary structure includes four short double-helical elements and three loops (D, anti-codon, and T loops). RNAcentral also lists the same sequence under 2 other names. The record is from RNAcentral. Lineage: Bacteria; Bacillati; Bacillota; Clostridia; Eubacteriales; Eubacteriaceae.
CGAGGUGUAGCGCAGUUUGGUAGCGCACAUGGUUUGGGACCAUGGGGCCGAAGGUUCGAAUCCUUUCACCUCGACCA